AUGACAAGUAAACGUGAAAGCUCCCUGCCCAUAGGAUGCUUGGAAGGGACCUCCUCCCUCUCACCAGGGUGCAACGUGGACUGCCAGACCCAGUGUCUGAUAGACUGCAGGCAGGGCCAUUACUACACGGCUGGCAACUGCUUGGAGUGUCCAACAGGCUUCUAUUGCCCAGGGGGUCAAGCAGCUCCAAGGAAAUGCCCACUGGGAACAGCGAAUGAACUUACAGCUCAGGUGGAGAUCACAGCCUGCCAGGUUUGUCCCAAUGGCUAUCUCAGCCUAGAGAACGGAGCUGGGUGCCGUGCGUGUCCAGAUGGCUAUUCAUGUGAUCCACGCAGUGGUGUGCAGAGGAGCUGCAGUCCUGGUCAGUAUUCUCCAGAGGGAGAGUUGGAGUGCCUGGAAUGCCCAGAUAAUUACAUCUGCCCAGAUGGACGAGAUAGACAGCAUUGUUUGGUCGGGCAGGAGCCAGAUCCAAGCCGCACUCGUUGUGUUACCUGCACCCUUGGUUCUUUCUCAACUGAAGAUACUUCGAUAAGCCAGCCCUGCCCAGCAGGUCACUUCUGUGCGGACGGCCUUACAGUCACUCCUCCGUGCCCAGCAGGGAGUUUCAAGCCCAGAGAGGGACUUCACACACCCAGCAGCAGCUCCUCAUGCUUGCCUGGAACCGGUUUGUGUUUGAAGUGCCCUGCUGGAUAUUUCUGUCCUGCUGGAGCAAAUCACCCAACGCCGUGCCAGCCAGGUACAUACAGUCCUCUCCAAGGACAGGACGAAGUCACUGACUGCAGAGCCUGCCCAGCAGGGAGAGCUUGCACUCAGGCUGGAUUAGCACAGCCUGACUCGGAGUGCCUACCAGGGUUCGUGUGCCCAGUGGGGUCGUCCAGCCCUCAUUUUCCCAGCAACGCCUGCCCUCCAGGAACAGUUGGCAAUGACUUCAACCUCUUUGAUAAGUCCCAGUGUGAAACAUGCCCUGCUGGAUUUUUCUGUGUUAGAGGAACAGGGGGGAGACAGAAGCCUCCUGCUCCAUGCCCAGUUGGUCACUACUGCCCACCAGGCACAAAGCACUCAACACAGCACAAGUGUGCCCCAGGCACCUGGAGCAAUAGGACGAGGCUGACAUCAGAAGAUGAGUGCUUGCUGUGCCCUGCGGGCUGGUUUUGUGUAGGAGGACUUCAUGUCCCUUCUGGCAUGUGCAGCUCAGGGCAUUACUGCCCUCAAGGUACACGGAGAAGCACACAGUACCCCUGCCCUUCUGGAACUUACAGUACCAGGCUGGGAAAUGGCAGAGUGGAAGACUGCACGGUCUGCCCUGCAGGGGCUUUCUGCACCAGGGGAACCUCCAAGCCAGUUCUUUGCCCAGUAGGAACCUAUCGCAUGGAACGUGGUGCAAAAGUGGCUGCAGAUUGUGUCCCUUGUCCUGGAGGGUAUUACUGCCCUGAGCUUGGCACUGUUACUCCUCGAACAUGUGGUGCUGGCAACUUUUCAGACCAAGGUUCAGCCUCCUGCUUGCCAUGUGUUGUUGGACAUUACUGUGCUAGUGAGCACACCAGCUGGGAGGUGAUGCUGCAUGCCAUGAUUUGCCCGGCAGGUCUCUUGUGCCCAGAAGGACAGGCAGUCCCUCCAGAUGCCAGUAAAAAUGCCUGCCCAAGAGGAUACUACUGUCCCCAGGGAGAUGCUGUCUUGCCCACUAAACCUUGCCCCAAUGGGACCUAUGGUGAGCGGAAGGGACUAAGCAGUGCUGAGGAAUGCUUGCUGUGUCCUGCAGGGAAGUACUGCUACAGAGCCGGAAUGGAGCCUCUGGGAAUUCCCCACCCUACUGGGGAUUGCCCACCUGGCUAUAACUGCCCUCCAGGGACUGGAUUCCCUUUCUCCUUCCCCUGUGCACCAGGCUUCUUCUGGAAUAAUUCCAGUGCAGAGGGUGAAGACAGGUGCAAACCAUGUCCAGCUGGCUCCUACUGUGACUCUCCUGCCACGUCAGAGCCCAAAGCUUGCCCAGCAGGCUUUCACUGUGGCGAAGGAUGCUCUAAACCUGAGCCCUGCCCAGAGGGCACCUACAGUAACAAGAAGGGGCUGUCCGGGCCAUCAGAGUGCAGCCCGUGUGGCCGUGGUUUCUACUGUGCUGCUCCAGGACAGACUGGGCCAAGCGGUCCCUGCCAGGCUGGGUUCUUCUGCCAGGGCAGGGCUCUGACUCCAUUGCCCACAGACGGUGUGACAGGAAACCUGUGUCCCCCUGGGGCAUACUGCCCACCUGGGUCCCCAUUACCUGUCCCCUGUCCUCCAGGAACCUACAGCAACAGGAGUGGGUUGAGAAGCCUCCGUCAGUGCUUGGACUGCCCGCCCGGCCUUUAUUGUGAUGGGACAAACAGCCAGGCUCCCUCAGGACCAUGUGAACCUGGCUACUUCUGUACAGGAGGUGCCAAAAGUGCUCUUCAGCAGAUGGUCAUGGAGGGACAUUAUUCCUUAACAGGAGCUUUCAGGCCAGAGCCAUGUCCCCUUGGCAGCUUCCAGCCUGGCCGUGGGCAGUCUGUUUGUAGGGACUGUCCGGAGGGUACAUUCUGCAAUGAGACAGGCCUGGCUGAAGCCCAGCCUUGUCCAAAAGGGCAUUUCUGCUCGGCUGGAAGUUCCCUGCCUCUCCCAUGUCCAGUGGGAACAUACACAGAUGUACCCAGGACAGGUUCGUGCAAGCCCUGCCCAGCAGGCACGUACUGCAGCAUGGCCGGUCUGACGGAGCCAGAAGGCCGUUGCCAGCCUGGACAUUUCUGCACUCAGGGGUCCAGCAGCUCCUCACCUGUGAGUACUGAACAUCAUGUGUUGCUGCAGCCCCUUCAGCGCUACAAAAGCUUUCAUAAACCACGCUCAUCUUAUUUCCCUUGCUUCAGGUGGGGCUUUCUUUUGGAGAUCUUUGUCCACCAGGACAUUAUUGCCCUGCUGGCACAACGCACCCAAAAGAGAUGCCGUGCCCUGCUGGCACCUGGAACGGACGGAGGGGAGCCCAGGAUGCCACUUGGUGUCUUCCUUGUGCCCCUGGAUUUUUCUGCAGUAUGUCUGGCCAAGAUGCUCCUGGAGGACUUUGUGCACAAGGUGAGACACGACCAGAACUUAGCUGCUCAGAAAUUCAGGGUUUUUUUGCAUAACAGAGAGGACUCAAGUGCUUUCUGCUUUAAGGCUAUUACUGCACGGGAAGGACAAAGACUGCAAAGCCAGAGGAUGGUGUCACUGGAAAUAUCUGUCCUCGAGGACAUUUCUGCCCUGCAGGCUCAGCAGCGCCUUCUCCCUGCCCCAGUGGAGAAUACAGUAACGCAACAGGUCAAGACAAAUGCUUUCCUUGCCCUGCUGGGUUUCACUGUCCAAAAGGACUAA
Molecule: long non-coding RNA, 3354 nt
Organism: Anser brachyrhynchus (Pink-footed goose)
Lineage: Eukaryota; Metazoa; Chordata; Aves; Anseriformes; Anatidae
Source: Ensembl